UCUUCUGUCUUUUCCUCCUUCUUCUGCCCGGCUUUCUUCCCCUCCCCCACAUCGCUGACCAAGUUCUCCCGUUUUGGACCGAGUCGCCUUGUUGUUGCCGCAGAGAUUCUUCCUGCUGCUGCCACUGUCGCCGCCGCCACCACUGUGCUCAUUUGCCCCGACCCCUUCCUGCCGCCCUGCCCCCAGCCCCACACAAGAUGUCAGAGGAUCUAGCAAAGCAGCUGGCAAGCUACAAAGCUCAACUCCAGCAAGUUGAAGCUGCAUUGUCUGGAAACGGAGAAAAUGAAGAUUUGCUAAAAUUAAAGAAAGAUUUACAAGAAGUUAUAGAACUAACCAAAGACCUUCUGUCAACUCAACCUUCAGAAACUCUUGCAAGUUCAGACAGUUUUGCUUCUACUCAGCCCAGUCAUUCAUGGAAAGUAGGAGACAAGUGUAUGGCAAUCUGGAGUGAAGAUGGACAGUGUUAUGAAGCGGAGAUCGAGGAGAUAGAUGAAGAAAAUGGCACUGCUGCAAUCACCUUUGCUGGCUACGGCAAUGCUGAAGUGACCCCACUGUUGAACCUCAAGCCUGUAGAAGAAGGAAGGAAGGCAAAGGAGGACAGUGGCAACAAACCCAUGUCAAAAAAAGAAAUGAUUGCCCAACAGCGUGAAUAUAAAAAGAAGAAAGCUUUGAAAAAAGCACAGAGAAUAAAAGAACUUGAGCAGGAAAGAGAGGACCAGAAGGUUAAAUGGCAACAGUUCAACAACAGAGCCUAUUCUAAAAACAAAAAAGGCCAGGUGAAAAGGAGUAUUUUUGCUUCUCCUGAGAGUGUAACCGGAAAAGUUGGAGUAGGAACUUGUGGAAUUGCUGAUAAACCUAUGACACAAUAUCAAGAUACCUCUAAAUACAAUGUCAGGCAUUUGAUGCCUCAAUAAUCAGAAAAACUGUUGGAUUUCAUCUCUGCAGGGCUUUACAUUUACCUUUUUAUCCUUAUAUUUUUCUAAAGGGUGUGUUACCAGAAGGGUGGUGAAGUCCUAGCUGACAGCACUGAUACAGUGAUUAAGCUUCAGUCUUCUUGCUUGCAUUCAUCAUUUCCACAGAAGAGAAUAUUGAGUAUGUGAUAAAGGUUUCAAUAAAUCCUUAUGUACUUCUUCCAUUAGACAUAAGAAAUUGAAUCCUAAAGGACAAACUAUUUUUAUCUUAAGGGCUUGUGCUGUGUAUAGAGGUGUUUGUACAUUUUGGUAAAAGGAGAAAAUAAAAAUUUUAAUGACUUUUAAAUAUUUUGGCAAAUUGAAACUUAGGACCGUGAUGAGAAUUAGAAUUCUUUAUUUUGCCCCUUCACCUCUCUCCCAACCCAGGAGGAUCAGUUUUCCUUCCUAUAAUUUAUGGCCACAGGGUAGAACAUGUAGGACAGAAUGAAAGGGGAAGUCUUUUUUAAAUACAAGGCACAAAUUACAGCAGAAUAGGACUACUUAGCCCGAAGAACUCCUAAAAACAUACUGUUCUUGUUACCAGUGUAACAAAUCUCUUAAGAAUUAAUAAUGGUAUCUUUUAAGGGUUGCAAGGGAACCCUUUAAAUUCAAAAGCACUUGGAAAGAAAUUUGGUACAAUGGUGUGACCACACAGAAUGGGUUUUGGUGAGAUUACCUCGGUAUGUUUGUUGGAGUAGUAAUUUACCUGUUACUUGUAUAGGCAGGACUUAAUGUUGAAACUUGUAUCUCCUUUGACCCAAGGGCUUCCUUUCUGCACAUUAAUUUUCCUGGAGGGGCUUUGCAGGAGAGAGAGAAGGAGUAAGGGUGACCAUACUAUAUAAAACAUUAAAAAAUUGUAUGAGAUUAGGAGUCCCUGUGUCAAAAGACCUAGAUGUGGCGCUUUGAAAAGUCCUAGUGUCAAGAUAAUGAUCAUGUUUCUGGACUAAACUAACAGGAUCCCUGGGGGGAUGGGAGCACCUGUCUCCUAGUGUGAUGCUUUUGUGAGAAGCACGAUAGCCAGUGAUAUUUUACAAGUGAGGGUGGCUAAGUUCAGUACUCUAAAACCAAAUAUGACACUUUGUUAUAUAUGUAACACUCUGUUAUAAAAUUUCAUGUAGUUACCCCAUCAAGAAGGGAGUCUUGAAGCUCAAACUCAGAAUGAGUUCAUGAUGUGAGUCAUGUACAGCCCCCAAGUAGCUGUGGUUGCAUGGAUCUUCUCAAAAAUUGCCAUUUGACUUUGUUACUGAUCAUAUCAAGGAAAGAAGAGUCCUGAUACCCCCCAAAUAAUUAGAUUUUAGUAUCACAGAUAAUAAAUGCUUUUUUAGUUAACAUGUAGAAAGGCCAUACUGGAAGAGCCAAGGACUCAGGAGCCAGACUGCUUUAGAAUCCUGGCCCCUCAUUUUUACCUGUGUGCAUAACUUGUCUUAGCUUUCUCAGCUGUAGAAUGAAAAUACCAGUUUCAUUAGGUUGUAAGGAUGAGUGAGUUAAUAUGUGUAAAUUGCUUAGAAUACCUGACAUGGUAAACACUGUACAAGUGUUUGCUAUUUACUGUGCAAGUGGUAAUGGUGACUAUCUUUUUUUCCCUAACCUUAACAGUGACAAUUCACAUUAUAAUGGAUAACAAUGCCCAUUGGCAUAUAAUUUGAAGUCCCUAAUUAUAAAUGUAUUACUGAACUGCUGUCAAAUUACCAAAGUUAUAUAUUAAGUACAUGCCAGUAGAAGUUAAAAUUUUUAUAUUAGAAUAUUUUAGGGCAUGUCUCUGGUGGGAAGGGAGUACAGGUUAUAAUAAAGUUACCCUAAUGCUUGCUUAAAAUUAAAAACGGGAUUUCUGGAUCUAGAUCCUAUUCCAGACCUAUUUAGGCCAAAGUAUGUCUGUUUUUGACAAACACCACAGGUGAUUCUGAUGUGCAUCCCUGGCCUAGAACCAUGUUUACAUUAAAUGUAAAAACAGUUUGAUUUUUGAAAUGAAGGAAAAAUUACUAAUGGGCAAUUUCCUUAGCCCAAUUAUUAAGAUUAGGCAUCAGACCAAAAUGAAAUGCAUCUGUCAUAACUCAUUAUUUUAAUAUGCUUUGUCAUAGUAUAUAUGUAUUUGGGUGUUUUCCAUUACAAUGCAGCUUUAAUGCUGAGUGUAUCUGCCUUUAAAAUAGCAAGGGUAGAGGCGCCUGGGUGGCUCAGUGGGUUAAGCGUUCGACUGGAUUUUGGCUCAGGUCAUGACCUCGGUGGUAAGAUGGAGCCUUGUGUGGGGCUUCACACUCAGCUCAAGUCUGCUCGAGAUUUUUCCCUUUCCCUCUGCCCCUCCCCUCUUCCCCUACUCCUGUGCAUGUGCUUUCUCACUCUCUCAAAUAUUAAGAAAAAAAUAGCAAGAGAAAACCAUCUGGUAACAAAUGAAAAUCAUAGUUUUAUAAAUUGUGUCUGUAGGUUGUAAUUACAAAAGGUGAAAAAUGUCACUUCUGCAAAUUUAGCCAAAAAAUAUUUUUGGAGUUCUGGUUUGACUUUUUGCCUCAACUUGGACAUUAACUGAAAGAUGAAAGAAGAAAAAAAAAUCUUAAAACCAGUAAGG
Molecule: RNA transcript, 3510 nt
Organism: Callorhinus ursinus (northern fur seal)
Lineage: Eukaryota; Metazoa; Chordata; Mammalia; Carnivora; Otariidae
Gene: SMNDC1
Gene name: survival motor neuron domain containing 1
Source: RefSeq, a predicted model, not a curated record